GCCAAAACAAACACUUUUCAUAACAACAAGCCAAACUCAUCAAAAGAACACUAAAACAACAGCUUAUCGCAUUCAUGCCAUUACAUAUGCUCAAAAACGUUCAAACUCGCCAAAACAAACACUUUUCGUAACACCAAGCCAAACUCAUCAAAAGAACACUAAAACAACAGCUUAACACAAGGGAUUACUAAUUCAACACAUUCAUGCCAUUACACAUGCUCAAAAACCUUCAAACUGGCCAAAACGAACAAUGUUCAUAACAACAAGCCAAACUCAUCAAAAGAACACUAAAACAACAGCUUAACGCAUUCAUGCCAUUACACAUGCUCAAAAACGUUCAAACUCUCCAAAACAAACACUUUUCAGAACAACAAUCUAAACUCAUCAAAAGAACACUAAAACAACGGCUUAACGCAUUCAUGCCAUUACACAUGCUCAAAAACGUUCAAACUCUCCAAAACAAACACUUUUCAUAACAACAAGCCAAACUCAUCAAAAGAACACUAAAACAACAGGUUAACGCAUUCAUGCCAUUACACAUGCUCAAAAACGUUCAAACUCGCCAAAACAAACACUUUUCAUAACAACAAGCCAAACUCAUCAAAAGAACACUGAAACAACGGCUUAACGCAUUCAUGCCAUUACACAUGCUCAAAAACGUUCAAACUCGCCAAAACAAACACUUUUCAUAACAACAAGCCAAACUCAUCAAAAGAACACUAAAACAACAGCUUAACACAAGGGAUUACUAAUUCAACACAUUCAUGCCAUUACACAUGCUCAAAAACCUUCAAACUAGCCAAAACAAACACUUUUCAUAACAACAAGCCAAACUCAUCAAAAGAACACUAAAACAACGGCUUAACGCAUUCAUGCCAUUACACAUGCUCAAAACGUUCAAACUCGCCAAAACAAACACUUUUCAGAACAACAAUCUAAACUCAUCAAAAGAACACUAAAACAACGGCUUAACGCAUUCAUGCCAUUACACAUGCUCAAAAACGUUCAAACUCGCCAAAACAAACACUUUUCAUAACAACAAGCCAAACUCAUCAAAAGAACACUAAAACAACGGCUUAACGCAUUCAUGCCAUUACACAUGCUCAAAAACGUUCAAACUCGCCAAAACAAACACUUUUCAGAACAACAAGCCAAGCUCAUCAAAAGAACACUAAAACAACGGCUUAACGCAUUCAUGCCAUUACACAUGCUCAGAAACGUUCAAACUCGCCAAAACAAACACUUUUCAUAACAACAAGCCAAACUCAUCAAAAGAACACUAAAACAACGGCUUAACACAAGGGAUUACUAAUUCAACACAUUCAUGCCAUUACACUUGCUAAAAAACCUUCAAACUGGCUAAAACGAACAAUGUUCAUAACAACAAGCCAAACUCAUCAAAAGAAAACUAAAACAACAGCUUAACGCAUUCAUGCCAUUACACAUGCUCAAAAACGUUCAAACUCGCCAAAACAAACACUUUUUCGUAACAACAAGCCAAACUCAUCAAAAGAACACUAAAACAACGGCUUUACACAAGGGAUUACUAAUUCAACACAUUCAUGCCAUUACACAUGCUCAAAAACGUUCAAACUCGCCAAAACAAACAAUGUUCAUAACAACAAGCCAAACUCAUCAAAAGAACACUAAAACAACAGCUUAACGCAUUCAUGCCAUUACACAUGCUCAAAAACGUUCAAACUCGCCAAAACAAACACUUUUCAUAACAAGCCAAACUCAUCAAAAGAACACUGAAACAACGGCUUAACGCAUUCAUGCCAUUACACAUGCUCAAAAACGUUCAAACUCGCCAAAACAAACACUUUUCAUAACAACAAGCCAAACUCAUCAAAAGAACACUAAAACAACAGCUUAACACAAGGGAUUACUAAUUCAACACAUUCAUGCCAUUACACAUGCUCAAAAACCUUCAAACUAGCCAAAACAAACACUUUUCAUAACAACAAGCCAAACUCAUCAAAAGCACACUAAAACAACGGCUUAACGCAUUCAUGCCAUUACACAUGCUCAAAACGUUCAAACUCGCCAAAACAAACACUUUUCAGAACAACAAUCUAAACUCAUCAAAAGAACACUAAAACAACGGCUUAACGCAUUCAUGCCAUUACACAUGCUCAAAAACGUUCAAACUCGCCAAAACAAACACUUUUCAUAACAACAAGCCAAACUCAUCAAAAGAACACUAAAACAACGGCUUAACGCAUUCAUGCCAUUACACAUGCUCAAAAACGUUCAAACUCGCCAAAACAAACACUUUUCAGAACAACAAGCCAAGCUCAUCAAAAGAACACUAAAACAACGGCUUAACGCAUUCAUGCCAUUACACAUGCUCAGAAACGUUCAAACUCGCCAAAACAAACACUUUUCAUAACAACAAGCCAAACUCAUCAAAAGAACACUAAAACAACGGCUUAACACAAGAGAUUACUAAUUCAACACAUUCAAGCCAUUACACUUGCUAAAAAACCUUCAAACUGGCUAAAACGAACAAUGUUCAUAACAACAAGCCAAACUCAUCAAAAGAAAACUAAAACAACAGCUUAACGCAUUCAUGCCAUUACACAUGCUCAAAAACGUUCAAACUCGCCAAAACAAACACUUUUUCGUAACAACAAGCCAAACUCAUCAAAAGAACACUAAAACAACGGCUUUACACAAGGGAUUACUAAUUCAACACAUUCAUGCCAUUACACAUGCUCAAAAACGUUCAAACUCGCCAAAACAAACAAUGUUCAUAACAACAAGCCAAACUCAUCAAAAGAACACUAAAACAACAGCUUAACGCAUUCAUGCCAUUACACAUGCUCAAAAACGUUCAAACUCGCCAAAACAAACAAUGCUCAUGACAAGCCAAUACUCAUCAAAACAACACUAAAACAACAGCUUAACGCAUUCAUGCCAUUACACAUGCUCAGAAACCUUCAAACUCGCAAAAACAAACACUGUUCAUAACAACAAGCCAAACUCAUCAAAAGAACACUAAAACAACAGCUUUACACAAGGAAUUACUAAUUCAACACAUUCAUGCCAUUACACAUGCUCAAAAACCUUCAAACUCGCCAAAACGAACAAUGUUCAUAACAACAAGCCAAACUCAUCAAAAGAACACUGAAACAACAGCUUAACGCAUUCAUGCCAUUACACAUGCUCAUAAAAGGUUCAAACUGGCCAAAACAAACACUUUUCAUAACAACAAGCCAAACUCAUCAAAAGAACACUAAAACAACAGCUUAACGCAUUCAUGCCAUUACACAUGCUCAAAAACUUCAAACUCGCCAAAACAAACACUUUUCAUAACAACAAGCAAAACUCAUCAAAAGAACACUAAAACAACAGCUUAACACAAGGGAUUACUAAUUCAACACAUUCAUGCCAUUACACAUGCUCAAAAACCUUCAAACUGGCCAAAACGAACAAUGUUCAUAACAACAAGCCAAACUCAUCAAAAGAACACUGAAACAACAGCUUUACGCAUUCAUGCCAUUACACAUGCUCAAAAACGUUCAAACUCGCCAAAACAAACACUUUUCAUAACAAGCCAAACUCAUCAAAAGAACACUAAAACAACAGCUUAACGCAUUCAUGCCAUUACACAUGCUCAAAAACGUUCAAACUCGCCAAAACAAACACUUUUCAUAACAACAAGCAAAACUCAUCAAAAGAACACUAAAACAACAGCUUAACACAAGGGAUUACUAAUUCAACACAUUCAUGCCAUUACACAUGCUUAAAAACGUUCAAACUCGCAAAAAAAACACUUUUCAUAACAACAAGCCAAACUCAUCAAAAGAACACUAAAACAACAGCUUAACACAAAGGAUUACUAAUUCAACACAUUCAUGCCAUUACACAUGCUCAAAAACCUUCAAACUGGCCAAAACGAACAAUGUUCAUAACAACAAGCCAAACUCAUCAAAAGAACACUAAAACAACAGCUUAACGCAUUCAUGCCAUUACACAUGCUCAAAAACGUUCAAACUCGCCAAAACAUACACUUUUGGUAACAACAAGCCAAACUCAUCAAAAGAACACUAAAACAAAAGCUUAACGCAUUCAUGCCAUUACACAUGCUCAAAAACGUUCAAACUCGCCAAAACAAACACUUUUCAUAACAACAAGCCAAACUCAUCAAAAGAACACUAAAACAACAGCUUAACGCAUUCAUGCCAUUACACAUGCUCAGAAACGUUCAAACUCGCCAAAACAAACACUUUUCAUAACAACAAGCCAAACUCAUCAAAAGAACACUAAAACAACAGCUUAACACAUUCAUGCCAUUACACAUGCAAAAAAACGUUCAAACUCGCCAAAACAAACACUUUUCAUAACAACAAGCCAAACUCAUUAAAAGAGCACUAAAACAACAGCUUAACGCAUUCAUGCCAUUACACAUGCUCAAAAACGUUCAAACUCGCCAAAACAAACACUUUUCAUAACAACAAGCCAAACUCAUCAAAAGAACACUAAAACAACGGCUUUACACAAGGGAUUACUAAUUCAACACAUUCAUGCCAUUACACAUGCUCAAAAACGUUCAAACUCGCCAAAACAAACAAUGUUCAUAACAACAAGCCAAACUCAUCAAAAGAACACUAAAACAACAGCUUAACGCAUUCAUGCCAUUACACAUGCUCAAAAACGUUCAAACUCGCCAAAACAAACAAUGCUCAUGACAAGCCAAUACUCAUCAAAACAACACUAAAACAACAGCUUAACGCAUUCAUGCCAUUACACAUGCUCAGAAACCUUCAAACUCGCAAAAACAAACACUGUUCAUAACAACAAGCCAAACUCAUCAAAAGAACACUAAAACAACAGCUUUACACAAGGAAUUACUAAUUCAACACAUUCAUGCCAUUACACAUGCUCAAAAACCUUCAAACUCGCCAAAACGAACAAUGUUCAUAACAACAAGCCAAACUCAUCAAAAGAACACUGAAACAAGAGCUUAACGCAUUCAUGCCAUUACACAUGCUCAUAAAAGGUUCAAACUGGUUAAAACAAACACUUUUCAUAACAACAAGCCAAACUCAUCAAAAGAACACUAAAACAACAGCUUAACGCAUUCAUGCCAUUAGACAUGCUCAAAAACGUUCAAACUCGCCAAAACAAACACUUUUCAUAACAACAAGCAAAACUCAUCAAAAGAACACUAAAACAACAGCUUAACACAAGGAAUUACUAAUUCAACACAUUCAUGCCAUUACACAUGCUCAAAAACCUUCAAACAGGCCAAAACGAACAAUGUUCAUAACAACAAGCCAAUCUCAUCAAAAGAACACUAAAACAACAGUUUAACGCAUUCAUGCCAUUACACAUGCUCAAAAAUGUUCAAACUCGCAAAAACAAACACUGUUCAUAACAACAAGCCAAACUCAUCAAAAGAACACUAAAACAACAGCUUUACACAAGGAAUUACUAAUUAAACACAUUCAUGCCAUUACACAUGCUCAAAAACCUUCAAACUGGCCAAAACGAACAAUGUUCAUAACAACAAGCCAAACUCAUCAAAAGAACACUGAAACAACAGCUUAACGCAUUCAUGCCAUUACACAUGCUCAAAAACGUUCAAACUCGCCAAAACAAACACUUUUCAUAACAAGCCAAACUCAUCAAAAGAACACUAAAACAACAGCUUAACGCAUUCAUGCCAUUACACAUGCUCAAAAACGUUCAAACUCGCCAAAACAAACACUUUUCAUAACAACAAGCAAAACUCAUCAAAAGAACACUAAAACAACAGCUUUAACACAAGGGAUUACUAAUUCAACACAUUCAUGCCAUUACACAUGCUCAAAAACGUUCAAACUCGCAAAAAAAACACUUUUCAUAACAACAAGCCAAACUCAUCAAAGGAACACUAAAACAACAGCUUAACACAAAGGAUUACUAAUUCAACACAUUCAUGCCAUUACACAUGCUCAAAAACCUUCAAACUGGCCAAAACGAACAAUGUUCAUAACAACAAGCCAAACUCAUCAAAAGAACACUAAAACAACAGCUUAACGCAUUCAUGCCAUUACACAUGCUCAAAAACGUUCAAACUCGCCAAAACAUACACUUUUGGUAACAACAAGCCAAACUCAUCAAAAGAACACUAAAACAAAAGCUUAACGCAUUCAUGCCAUUACACAUGCUCAAAAACGUUCAAACUCGCCAAAACAAACACUUUUCAUAACAACAAGCCAAACUCAUCAAAAGAACACUAAAACAACAGCUUAACGCAUUCAUGCCAUUACACAUGCUCAGAAACGUUCAAACUCGCCAAAACAAACACUUUUCAUAACAACAAGCCAAACUCAUCAAAAGAACACUAAAACAACAGCUUAACACAUUCAUGCCAUUACACAUGCAAAAAAACGUUCAAACUCGCCAAAACAAACACUUUUCAUAACAACAAGCCAAACUCAUUAAAAGAGCACUAAAACAACAGCUUAACGCAUUCAUGCCAUUACACAUGCUCAAAAACGUUCAAACUCGCCAAAACAAACAAUGCUCAUGACAAGCCAAUACUCAUCAAAACAACACUAAAACAACAGCUUAACGCAUUCAUGCCAUUACACAUGCUCAGAAACCUUCAAACUCGCAAAAACAAACACUGUUCAUAACAACAAGCCAAACUCAUCAAAAGAACACUAAAACAACAGCUUUACACAAGGAAUUACUAAUUCAACACAUUCAUGCCAUUACACAUGCUCAAAAACCUUCAAACUCGCCAAAACGAACAAUGUUCAUAACAACAAGCCAAACUCAUCAAAAGAACACUGAAACAAGAGCUUAACGCAUUCAUGCCAUUACACAUGCUCAUAAAAGGUUCAAACUGGUUAAAACAAACACUUUUCAUAACAACAAGCCAAACUCAUCAAAAGAACACUAAAACAACAGCUUAACGCAUUCAUGCCAUUAGACAUGCUCAAAAACGUUCAAACUCGCCAAAACAAACACUUUUCAUAACAACAAGCAAAACUCAUCAAAAGAACACUAAAACAACAGCUUAACACAAGGAAUUACUAAUUCAACACAUUCAUGCCAUUACACAUGCUCAAAAACCUUCAAACAGGCCAAAACGAACAAUGUUCAUAACAACAAGCCAAUCUCAUCAAAAGAACACUAAAACAACAGUUUAACGCAUUCAUGCCAUUACACAUGCUCAAAAAUGUUCAAACUCGCAAAAACAAACACUGUUCAUAACAACAAGCCAAACUCAUCAAAAGAACACUAAAACAACAGCUUUACACAAGGAAUUACUAAUUAAACACAUUCAUGCCAUUACACAUGCUCAAAAACCUUCAAACUGGCCAAAACGAACAAUGUUCAUAACAACAAGCCAAACUCAUCAAAAGAACACUGAAACAACAGCUUAACGCAUUCAUGCCAUUACACAUGCUCAAAAACGUUCAAACUCGCCAAAACAAACACUUUUCAUAACAAGCCAAACUCAUCAAAAGAACACUAAAACAACAGCUUAACGCAUUCAUGCCAUUACACAUGCUCAAAAACGUUCAAACUCGCCAAAACAAACACUUUUCAUAACAACAAGCAAAACUCAUCAAAAGAACACUAAAACAACAGCUUUAACACAAGGGAUUACUAAUUCAACACAUUCAUGCCAUUACACAUGCUCAAAAACCUUCAAACAGGCCAAAACGAACAAUGUUCAUAACAACAAGCCAAUCUCAUCAAAAGAACACUAAAACAACAGUUUAACGCAUUCAUGCCAUUACACAUGCUCAAAAAUGUUCAAACUCGCAAAAACAAACACUGUUCAUAACAACAAGCCAAACUCAUCAAAAGAACACUAAAACAACAGCUUUACACAAGGAAUUACUAAUUAAACACAUUCAUGCCAUUACACAUGCUCAAAAACCUUCAAACUGGCCAAAACGAACAAUGUUCAUAACAACAAGCCAAACUCAUCAAAAGAACACUGAAACAACAGCUUAACGCAUUCAUGCCAUUACACAUGCUCAAAAACGUUCAAACUCGCCAAAACAAACACUUUUCAUAACAACAAGCCAAACUCAUCAAAAGAACACUAAAACAACAGCUUAACGCAUUCAUGCCAUUACACAUGCUCAAAAACGUUCAAACUCGCCAAAACAAACACUUUUCAUAACAACAAGCAAAACUCAUCAAAAGAACACUAAAACAACAGCUUUAACACAAGGGAUUACUAAUUCAACACAUUCAUGCCAUUACACAUGCUCAAAAACGUUCAAACUCGCAAAAAAAACACUUUUCAUAACAACAAGCCAAACUCAUCAAAGGAACACUAAAACAACAGCUUAACACAAAGGAUUACUAAUUCAACACAUUCAUGCCAUUACACAUGCUCAAAAACCUUCAAACUGGCCAAAACGAACAAUGUUCAUAACAACAAGCCAAACUCAUCAAAAGAACACUAAAACAACAGCUUAACGCAUUCAUGCCAUUACACAUGCUCAAAAACGUUCAAACUCGCCAAAACAUACACUUUUGGUAACAACAAGCCAAACUCAUCAAAAGAACACUAAAACAAAAGCUUAACGCAUUCAUGCCAUUACACAUGCUCAAAAACGUUCAAACUCGCCAAAACAAACACUUUUCAUAACAACAAGCCAAACUCAUCAAAAGAACACUAAAACAACAGCUUAACGCAUUCAUGCCAUUACACAUGCUCAGAAACGUUCAAACUCGCCAAAACAAACACUUUUCAUAACAACAAGCCAAACUCAUCAAAAGAACACUAAAACAACAGCUUAACACAUUCAUGCCAUUACACAUGCAAAAAAACGUUCAAACUCGCCAAAACAAACACUUUUCAUAACAACAAGCCAAACUCAUUAAAAGAGCACUAAAACAACAGCUUAACGCAUUCAUGCCAUUACACAUGCUCAAAACGUUCAAACUCGCCAAAACAAACACUUUUCAUAACAACAAGCCAAACUCAUCAAAAGAACACUAAAACAACGGCUUUACACAAGGGAUUACUAAUUCAACACAUUCAUGCCAUUACACAUGCUCAAAAACGUUCAAACUCGCCAAAACAAACAAUGUUCAUAACAACAAGCCAAACUCAUCAAAAGAACACUAAAACAACAGCUUAACGCAUUCAUGCCAUUACACAUGCUCAAAAACGUUCAAACUCGCCAAAACAAACAAUGCUCAUGACAAGCCAAUACUCAUCAAAACAACACUAAAACAACAGCUUAACGCAUUCAUGCCAUUACACAUGCUCAGAAACCUUCAAACUCGCCAAAACAAACACUUUUCAUAACAACAAGCAAAACUCAUCAAAAGAACACUAAAACAACAGCUUAACACAAGGGAUUACUAAUUCAACACAUUCAUGCCAUUACACAUGCUCAAAAACCUUCAAACAGGCCAAAACGAACAAUGUUCAUAACAACAAGCCAAUCUCAUCAAAAGAACACUAAAACAACAGUUUAACGCAUUCAUGCCAUUACACAUGCUCAAAAAUGUUCAAACUCGCAAAAACAAACACUGUUCAUAACAACAAGCCAAACUCAUCAAAAGAACACUAAAACAACAGCUUUACACAAGGAAUUACUAAUUAAACACAUUCAUGCCAUUACACAUGCUCAAAAACCUUCAAACUGGCCAAAACGAACAAUGUUCAUAACAACAAGCCAAACUCAUCAAAAGAACACUGAAACAACAGCUUAACGCAUUCAUGCCAUUACACAUGCUCAAAAACGUUCAAACUCGCCAAAACAAACACUUUUCAUAACAAGCCAAACUCAUCAAAAGAACACUAAAACAACAGCUUAACGCAUUCAUGCCAUUACACAUGCUCAAAAACGUUCAAACUCGCCAAAACAAACACUUUUCAUAACAACAAGCAAAACUCAUCAAAAGAACACUAAAACAACAGCUUUAACACAAGGGAUUACUAAUUCAACACAUUCAUGCCAUUACACAUGCUCAAAAACGUUCAAACUCGCAAAAAAAACACUUUUCAUAACAACAAGCCAAACUCAUCAAAAGAACACUAAAACAACAGCUUAACACAAAGGAUUACUAAUUCAACACAUUCAUGCCAUUACACAUGCUCAAAAACGUUCAAACUCGCCAAAACAUACACUUUUGGUAACAACAAGCCAAACUCAUCAAAAGAACACUAAAACAAAAGCUUAACGCAUUCAUGCCAUUACACAUGCUCAAAAACGUUCAAACUCGCCAAAACAAACACUUUUCAUAACAACAAGCCAAACUCAUCAAAAGAACACUAAAACAACAGCUUAACGCAUUCAUGCCAUUACACAUGCUCAAAAACGUUCAAACUCGCCAAAACAAACACUUUUCAUAACAACAAGCCAAACUCAUCAAAAGAACACUAAAACAACAGCUUAACGCAUUCAUGCCAUUACACAUGCUCAAAACGUUCAAACUCGCCAAAACAAACACUUUUCAUAACAACAAGCCAAACUCAUCAAAAGAACACUAAAACAACAGCUUAACGCAUUCAUGCCAUUACACAUGCUCAAAAACGUUCAAACUCGCCAAAACAAACACUUUUCAUAACAACAAGCCAAACUCAUCAAAAGAACACUAAAACAACGGCUUUACACAAGGGAUUACUAAUUCAACGCAUUCAUGCCAUUACACAUGCUCAAAAACGUUCAAACUCGCCAAAACAAACACUUUUCAUAACAACAAGCCAAACUCAUCAAAAGAACACUAAAACAACGGCUUAACGCAUUCAUGCCAUUACACAUGCUCAAAAACGUUCAAACUCGCCAAAACAAACACUUUUCAGAACAACAAGCCAAACUCAUCAAAAGAACACUAAAAUAACGGCUUAACGCAUUCAUGCCAUUACACAUGCUCAGAAACGUUCAAACUCGCCAAAACAAACACUCUUCAUAACAACAAGCCAAACUCAUCAAAAGAACACUAAAACAACGGCUAAACACAAGGGAUUACUAAUUCAACACAUUCAUGCCAAUUACACUUGCUAAAAAACCUUCAAACUGGCUAAAACGAACAAUGUUCAUAACAACAAGCCAAACUCAUCAAAAGAAAACUAAAACAACAGCUUAACGCAUUCAUGCCAUUACACAUGCUCAAAAACGUUCAAACUCGCCAAAACAAACACUUUUUCGUAACAACAAGCCAAACUCAUCAAAAGAACACUAAAACAACGGCUUUACACAAGGGAUUACUAAUUCAACACAUUCAUGCCAUUACACAUGCUCAAAAACGUUCAAACUCGCCAAAACAAACACUGUUCAUAACAACAAGCCAAACUCAUCAAAAGAACACUAAAACAACAGCUUAACGCAUUCAUGCCAUUACACAUGCUCAAAAACGUUCAAACUCGCCAAAACAAACACUUUUCAUAAUUAGCCAAACUUAUCAAAAGAACACUAAAACAACUGCUUAACACAAACAUGCCUUUAAACAUGCUCAAAAACCUUCAAACUCGCCAAAACAAUCUGUUCAUAACAACAAGCCUAACUCAUCAUAAGAACACUAAAACAACAGCUUCACACAUUCAUGCCAUUACACAUACUCAAAAACCUUCAAACUCGCCAAAACAAACAAUGCUCAUGACAAGCCAAUACUCAUCAAAAGAACACUAAAACAACAGCUUAACGCAUUCAUGCCAUUACACAUGCUCAAAAACGUUCAAACUCUCCAAAACAAACACUUUUCAUAACAACAAGCCAAACUCAUCAAAAGAACACUAAAACAACAGGUUAACGCAUUCAUGCCAUUACACAAGCUCAAAAACGUUCAAACUCGCCAAAACAAACACUUUUCAUAACAACAAGCCAAACUCAUCAAAAGAACACUGAAACAACGGCUUAACGCAUUCAUGCCAUUACACAUGCUCAAAAACGUUCAAACUCGCCAAAACAAACACUUUUCAUAACAACAAGCCAAACUCAUCAAAAGAACACUAAAACAAC
This is a non-coding RNA of Xyrichtys novacula (pearly razorfish), 11936 nucleotides long. Lineage: Eukaryota; Metazoa; Chordata; Actinopteri; Labriformes; Labridae. The record is from the annotation of a GenBank genome assembly.